RNAcentral lists this small nuclear RNA (336 nucleotides) under Meriones unguiculatus (Mongolian gerbil). RNAcentral describes it as "7SK RNA (ENSMUGG00000001863.1)". It matches the Rfam family "7SK RNA". Rfam says of the family: 7SK was discovered as an abundant small nuclear RNA in the mid-70s but a possible function has only recently been suggested. Two independent studies have found that 7SK RNA binds the CDK9/cyclin T complex (known as elongation factor P-TEFb). The record is from RNAcentral. Lineage: Eukaryota; Metazoa; Chordata; Mammalia; Rodentia; Muridae.
UAAGCUGUAAAGGCAACCUGCCUCUGAUAUCUAUCACCCUUUUGAUGACCAGAGUUGAAUCAGCUAAUCUGGAACUCUAGACAGGUGUCCUCUUCCUCCCUCACCACUUCAUUUGAUGUGCAUCCCUCCUGAAGCUACACACUUGAUGGCAAGGAAUGACCGUUCUAGAGAGAGGAGGAGGACCAACCAGUCUCUGUCAAAGCUAUACAAUCAACUGCCUUCCCUGGCUAAAACCUCCAAACAAGCUCUCCAAGUCCAAAGAUAGAUGGUAAGCCUUGAUAAUUUUAAUAAAUGUGACAAGAUUGUAUUAUGAAUUAAGAUUCCUCGCAUAUCUAC